GUGGGGAAUAUUGGGCAAUGGGGGCAACCCUGACCCAGCAACGCCGCGUGAGGGAAGAAGGUUUUCGGAUUGUAAACCUCUGUCCUAUGGGAAGAAGGAAGUGACGGUACCAUAGGAGGAAGCCCCGGCUAACUACGUGCCAGCAGCCGCGGUAAUACGUAGGGGGCGAGCGUUGUCCGGAAUUACUGGGCGAAAAGGGUGCGCAGGUGGCCUGACAAGUCAGAUGUGAAAUACCGAUGCUUAACGUCGGGGCUGCAUUUGAAACUAUGAGGCUGGAGUGCAGGAGAGGGAAGCGGAAUUCCUAGUGUAGCGGUGAAAUGCAUAGAUAUUAGGAGGAACACCAGUGGCGAAGGCGGCUUUCUGGACUGUAACUGACACUGAGGCACGAAAGCGUGGGGAGCAAACAGGAUUAGAAACCCUGGUAGUCC
RNAcentral lists this ribosomal RNA (428 nucleotides) under uncultured bacterium. Its description in RNAcentral is "partial 16S ribosomal RNA". It matches the Rfam family "Bacterial small subunit ribosomal RNA", at positions 354 to 796 of the family's 1533-position model. The record is from RNAcentral.